RNAcentral lists this ribosomal RNA (388 nucleotides) under uncultured eukaryote. RNAcentral's name for it is "SSU rRNA". It matches the Rfam family "Eukaryotic small subunit ribosomal RNA", at positions 587 to 972 of the family's 1831-position model. The record is from RNAcentral.
AGCUCCAAUAGCGUAUAUUAAAGUUGCUGCUGUUAAAAAGCUCGUAGUUGGAUUUCUGAUAUAACAUAUCUGUCCCGUCGUGGUUACACGUAUGAGUGACGGAAUAUGUUUAUCUGUCUUGUAUGUGUGUUUAUAUUGUGAAAGCAAUAUAAAUAACUAUACAUCUUUUACUUUGAACAAAUUAGAGUGUUUCAAGCAGGCAUUAUGCCUUGAAUACAUGAGCAUGGAAUAAUCAUCGAGGACUUUUAGUUCUAUGUUGAUUGGUUCUAGAACUAUAGUAAUGAUGGAUAGGGAUAGUUGGGGGUGCUAGUAUUCCAAGGCCAGAGGUGAAAUUCUUGGAUUCUUGGAAGACUCACUUAGGCGAAAGCAUUCACCAAGGAUGUCCUCA